UACCGGCAUUCCAACGCCGGCGCGGGCUACUGAAAAGGCUUGUCCUUCAUUGCCAGGUGUGCGGGCGGGAAAUUCCCAACCAAUCCACGGCAGCACAGUUCGUACUGAGUUCGAGGCUUCGUCGCGUCUCCAUCGUGCGACUGGCCGCAGCGCUCACGU
This is a regulatory RNA element of Afipia sp. Root123D2, 159 nucleotides long. It matches the Rfam family "speF leader". From Rfam's summary of the family: This family is a putative regulatory RNA structure that is found upstream of the speF gene encoding ornithine decarboxylase in Agrobacterium tumefaciens and other alpha-proteobacteria. NCBI's taxonomy places the organism in Bacteria, Pseudomonadati, Pseudomonadota, Alphaproteobacteria, Hyphomicrobiales, Nitrobacteraceae. The record is from Rfam.